Molecule: long non-coding RNA, 304 nt
Filed under: Numida meleagris (helmeted guineafowl)
Lineage: Eukaryota; Metazoa; Chordata; Aves; Galliformes; Numididae
Description: lncRNA (ENSNMEG00000014531.1)
Source: RNAcentral
GCAAGGAUAUAACAGGGCUUGCUGGUGGAGGCUUAGGGGAUAUAUCUGCCUGCUUGAAAGCACUCUUAAACUUUCUAUGGAAAGGUAAUUUAUAUUAUGGCGAUAACUUCGAACACAACCUUCAGGCUUUCAUUGAGAGCAUAGAUUCUAUAGCAACGAAAUAACAUAUUUUAGCAUCUUUGGAGCCUGGAACUGUGUGCAGCAUUCAAGGUGAGGCUACCACAAGGCUGAAUGUAAGGUGAGAAUCACUUCUUUUAUUGCUUACAGUGUGUCUUGUAUGUAAUAAGCUUCUGAUGGCAGUGAU